This 755-nucleotide ribosomal RNA is filed under the name uncultured bacterium. Its description in RNAcentral is "bacterial SSU rRNA". It matches the Rfam family "Bacterial small subunit ribosomal RNA", at positions 8 to 809 of the family's 1533-position model. The record is from RNAcentral.
AGAGUUUGAUCAUGGCUCAGGAUGAACGCUGGCGGCGUGCUUAACACAUGCAAGUCGAACGAGCCUUCGGGCUAGUGGCGGACGGGUGAGUAACGCGUGAGAAUCUGCCCUCAGGAGGGGGAUAACGGCUGGAAACGGCCGCUAAUACCCCAUAUGCCGCGAGGUGAAACGAGUUUUCGCCUGAGGAUGAGCUCGCGUCUGAUUAGCUAGUUGGUGGGGUAAGAGCCUACCAAGGCAUCGAUCAGUAGCUGGUCUGAGAGGAUGAUCAGCCACACUGGGACUGAGACACGGCCCAGACUCCUACGGGAGGCAGCAGUGGGGAAUUUUCCGCAAUGGGCGCAAGCCUGACGGAGCAACGCCGCGUGAGGGAUGAAGGCCUCUGGGCUGUAAACCUCUUUUCUCAAGGAAGAAGAACUGACGGUACUUGAGGAAUAAGCCACGGCUAAUUCCGUGCCAGCAGCCGCGGUAAUACGGGAGUGGCAAGCGUUAUCCGGAAUUAUUGGGCGUAAAGCGUCCGCAGGCGGUCUUGAAAGUCUGUUGUUAAAGCGUGGAGCUCAACUCCAUUCCAGCAAUGGAAACUAGAAGACUAGAGUGUGGUAGGGGCAGAGGGAAUUCCCGGUGUAGCGGUGAAAUGCGUAGAUAUCGGGAAGAACACCAGUGGCGAAGGCGCUCUGCUGGGCCAUAACUGACGCUCAUGGACGAAAGCCAGGGGAGCGAAAGGGAUUAGAUACCCCUGUAGUCCUGGCCGUAAACGA